UGAGACAAGGGAUUUUAGGGAUCUGCUUCCAUCUCCAUUUCUCUCUCAGAAACCUUGCUCUCCCGUCUCCUCUCUGUCUGUCGCCCAUAAUCAGAUCCACUACCUCUCUCUCUCCUCUCCUUCUUCUCCCUCUCUCACCGUGUGGGUCUCUCCUCUCUUCCAUCCAAGGAAGAUGGAAGAACUGUCAGUAGAGCUUCCAACACAGACUAUUCCUCACUGUGAACCAUCAAAGCAUUCUGAUCUGCAAUUUGACCGGCUGCAACCAUCAGAUGAAGAUUUAGAUCAAGAUAAAAAGUUGGAAUUUGGACAAUUUGUUGCACGAGAGACCACACUGGAUGAAGAAUACUGGGCAGUCUUCGGUCAUUGGGUCAAGGUGGAGCAUCCUGUUUAGUUUCUAAGGGGAUACAAUGAUUUGGUGUUGUUUAUCUCAGACAGUGGGCUUGCAGACUUGUUUGUUGAAAGCAAAGUCUGCUAAUUCAGCAAGAAUAGAUGGGGAAUUCUGCAAAUUGGUUGUCCCCAAAUUUGAACCCGCAGACAAAAUUCUCAUCAGUGCGCUCAGAAGCAGAUCGCAAAUGAAAGAUCAAAGAGGGUGUGGAAGAUGUUCAUUCCCAGAAGAAAUGAGUUGUGAAGAUCUUAAUGAUACACUGGUACAAGGGAUCAUAGAUACGUAAUUUAUUUUGGUCAUUCCACUUGAAAGCUUAGCUGCUGCAAGAACCGUAAGAAAGUUUUUAGAAUUUUUUGCCAACUGCUAAAACUACAAUGGAGUUUGCAGGACAUGUAUUUUGUCAUGUUGUGCGCACAGACAACUGGAUGCCGCUUAUGUUUCUUAUGCAGACUAUAUUUUGCGAUUAGAACUUUUGUAAACAGAGUUAAGUUCAUCAUCUUGAUUGUACAGUGGCUCUUGAUGUCAGCUUAAUUAAUGAAAACCAAACUGCUUAUCAGCUCACUUCACCCAU
This is a long non-coding RNA of Malus domestica (apple), 956 nucleotides long. RefSeq lists it as uncharacterized. The record is from RefSeq and is a predicted model, not a curated record. Lineage: Eukaryota; Viridiplantae; Streptophyta; Magnoliopsida; Rosales; Rosaceae.